Long non-coding RNA from Raphanus sativus (radish), 891 nucleotides. RefSeq lists it as uncharacterized. Lineage: Eukaryota; Viridiplantae; Streptophyta; Magnoliopsida; Brassicales; Brassicaceae. The transcript is spliced from 2 exons. The record is from RefSeq and is a predicted model, not a curated record.
ACAAAACAAAUGGACCUUGCCCUUAAGAUCUGGAUCGUUACAACAUUGGUAUUUUUGGGUUUGGUUUCAGCAUGUAACUCCAAAAUAUGCUUUCUGCACAUGGUUAGUUAUUCACAACAGACUGUCUACAGGUAAUAGUAUGGCCAUAUGGAGCAGUGAAAUAAUUAACAAGCAUAUUGAGGAGAUAGAGGAAAGGCGAGGAAGAACAAAAGGGAGGGAAGUCAGCGGCGAGAGAACUCCUGCGACCACUGAAAAAAAAAAUUUAUAAUUUUGCUUUCAAGAAAAAAGAAAAGAGGAGAGAGAGAGUACUUUAAAACAAUUUAUUAAAAAAUAUUCUCUCUCUAGACACUCUAACCUCUUUCUAGAAACUUCUAAAAAAAGUUGCGAUCGGUGGCCGGCGGGCUCUCUUGCCAUCGGUCGCCACCCCCUUUUUAUUUUGUUUUUUUUGUUGUAAUAUAAAGAUCUAUGUUUUUCGUUUUCUGGUUAGUAAGUUGCGGUUUAUGGUGGAAGGUUUAUACAAGUGAAGAUUAACAAGCCCAGAAGUAUAGCUAGAGAAAAAUCAGAGACGUAACGGAUGUGCUACGACAUAAACUCCACCUUCCUUGCGGUGGCGCGUUCGUCGCGCGUUACUCGGUGUGCGUGACUCAGUGUCAAGACCCAAGUACAAGAAUUGAAUGGCGCGUGUCUUUACUGUCUUGAUCUUUGACGCGUGGCAAGUUGAAAGAAACCUCGAGACGGUUGAUCUAUACUAUUAUUGUAGGUUUCGUAUGUGUUAAUGUGUAUACCGGUCUUGUAAACAAAAAAAAUUGGGCUGUUAAUACGCUUGUAAGUUUGCCCCUUUGGGCUUUCAUGAAAUGAAAAGUCGACCAAAAAAAAAACAAUUUAUUAUUA